UGGGGAAUCUUGCGCAAUGGGCGAAAGCCUGACGCAGCGACGCCGCGUGUGGGAUGAAGGUCUUCGGAUUGUAAACCACUGUCGGGAGGGACGAAGCUCUGACGGUACCUCCAAAGGAAGCACCGGCUAACUCUGUGCCAGCAGCCGCGGUAAUACAGAGGGUGCAAGCGUUGUCCGGAAUCACUGGGCGUAAAGGGCGCGUAGGCGGCCUGGUAAGUCGGGGGUGAAAUUCUGCGGCUCAACCGCAGGACGGCCUUCGAGACUGCUGGGCUCGAGCACGGUAGAGGCUGGUGGAAUUCCCGGUGUAGCGGUGGAAUGCGUAGAGAUCGGGAAGAACAUCGGUGGCGAAGGCGGCCAGCUGGGCCGUUGCUGACGCUGGGGCGCGACAGCGUGGGGAGCAAACAGGAUUAGAUACCCUGGUAGUCCACGCCCUAAACGGUGGGCACUAGGUGUGGGAUUCGUAAGGGUUCCGUGCCGAAGGGAAACCAUUAAGUGCCCCGCCUGGGGAGUACGGCCGCAAGGUUG
RNAcentral lists this ribosomal RNA (525 nucleotides) under uncultured bacterium. Its description in RNAcentral is "bacterial SSU rRNA". It matches the Rfam family "Bacterial small subunit ribosomal RNA", at positions 355 to 896 of the family's 1533-position model. The record is from RNAcentral.